UACGGAGGAGGCAAGCGUUGUUCGGAAUCAUUGGGCGUAAAGGGCCCGUAGGCGGCCAUGCAAGUCAGGGGUGAAAUCCCUCGGCUCAACCGAGGAAUUGCCUCUGAAACUGCCUGGCUCGAGCCCGGGCGAGGGUAGUGGAAUUCCCAGUGUAGCGGUGAUAUGCGUAGAUAUUGGGAGGAACACCAGUGGCGACGGCGGCUACCUGGACCGGUUCUGACGCUGAGGCGCGAAAGCGUGGGGAGCAAACAGG
Molecule: ribosomal RNA, 253 nt
Filed under: uncultured bacterium
Lineage: Bacteria
Description: partial 16S ribosomal RNA
Rfam family: Bacterial small subunit ribosomal RNA
Source: RNAcentral